RNAcentral lists this ribosomal RNA (253 nucleotides) under uncultured bacterium. RNAcentral describes it as "partial 16S ribosomal RNA". It matches the Rfam family "Bacterial small subunit ribosomal RNA", at positions 524 to 776 of the family's 1533-position model. The record is from RNAcentral.
UACGGAGGGUGCAAGCGUUGUUCGGAAUCACUGGGCGUAAAGGGCGCGUAGGCGGCCUGAUAAGUAGGGGGUGAAAUCCUGCGGCUUAACCGCAGGGCUGCCUUCUAAACUGUCGGGCUUGAGCACAGUAGAGGCAGGUGGAAUUCCCGGUGUAGCGGUGGAAUGCGUAGAGAUCGGGAAGAACAUCAGUGGCGAAGGCGGCCUGCUGGGCUGUUGCUGACGCUGAGGCGCGACAGCGUGGGGAGCAAACAGG